Molecule: long non-coding RNA, 1482 nt
Organism: Priapulus caudatus
Lineage: Eukaryota; Metazoa; Priapulida; Priapulimorpha; Priapulimorphida; Priapulidae
Exons: 3
Source: RefSeq, a predicted model, not a curated record
UACGCCAGACACAGGAUACCCGGAUGCACUGGCCCUUGUACGAAUUCACGCGAGAUCCCGCAUCGAUCAGGGAUAGGGAAGCUGAGCAUCUUUUCCUCGUCGGACCAAACGGAAUAAAGCAAAAAUGUCGCAGGUUCAGGCAAUGAAAAAGCAAGUUAUGCAGCUAAAGCAAGAAGCUAGUAUACAGCGGAUUCCUGUUUCUCAAGCCAUUGCAGAUUUGCAGUCAUACUGUGAGCAGCAUGCAGCAGUGGACUGGCUGUUGAAUGGAGGCCCACAGUCAGAAAAUCCAUUCAAGGAAAAGCAAUCGUGCACUAUACUCUAAACACGACAUAGAAGAUUAUUCAUUUCAACGUUGGAAAAAUACUGGAGUCUCCAAGACAGAACACAGUGAAAGCCAUACUGCAGGCAAACCUACCAUUGAUGAAGUUUCUCAGCAACAGACGUCAGUAAAAGACGCUUGAAAUAUUGGUUAAACUUGAUCCAUAUAAUAUUGGAACACAAUAGUCAGUGUCCAUGAACAGCAUAGAUGUUACUCUAUUGUAUGUGUAUAUAACGUUUAUUUAAUUAAUUGCUUUUUAUGCUGCAAUAUGUCAUAUCACAAGUUUGUUUCCUUUAUUACAUGACUAAGCUGAUUAAUCAGCAUUAGUGCUUCUAUAUUUUAAAAAGGUCAUUAGAUCGUUGUAUCUUUCACGUGUUUGACUUUGUGGCAAGGCUUGUUUGUCAUUUUGAACAUUAUUAGUUAUUGUACUACGUAUGAAUAACAUCAAUUAAUGUAUUGUUUACUGAUAUGCAAUGUGUUCAUUGUAAUGGGAACUGCAAGCAUGUGCUGCAUUUGUGAAGUUUAGCAUUGAUCGUCACUGCAUUUUACACUAUUUAAAUUUCACUUUGUGACUACUCUUGAAGUCCAGCUACUACAUAGACCAUUACUGGAAUAGCAUAAAAAACACCCACCACUAGUAGUAGUAUUCACAUCUACAGUGUAAUUGUAAAAUGCACAGUCAAAUAGUCACAUUGUGAGAAAACUGGUCCACAAAGCUCAUGAAUUGUAAUUGUGUGCAUUAGAUGUGGUGUACUUCAAUCCAAUUUCAUUCAUGCAUAAUUGACUAAUAUAAAUAUUAAGGUUAUAUAGAAUUAAAUUAAAUGUUGUCUCCCAUGUUCAGUUCAUGCUCAAAUACCACGCAGCAGAAUAAUUUACUCUACAAAUACUUGUGUAUGUGUAAGUUCACUUUACUUAUGUGCAUAUAUAUAGUAACUGGUUAUCGUAGCCUUUGAAGGAUUGAGAUGCGUACCUUUAACUUGGCCGUAGCUUACCUUUUUUAACACGAGGCAAUUUAAUAUAUUGGAGUAUUUUCAGGAACAAUCAUAAUACGUGAUGUUUAAAAUGAUAUCUGAAAAGAAUGUUUUAAAAAUGGCACAUACUGAAAAACAUUCGUUUCUUGGUAUAUUAUUUGAGUGAAAUACAUACAGUUCAGUGUCAUUGUA